GAAAUUUCAAGGAUGAAAUCUGAAAAAAAAGAAAAAAAGAAAAAUAUAUGAAUAUCUUUUAUUUCAGAGAACCUCCCAUGGUUGCACUACAAUUAUCUGUGCCUGAAGGAUUAUCUGUUUCCUACUUAUUUACCUUAUGAAUAAACUACAGUAAACUUAUGAACAAGAAAGGCCCCAAAAUAAGAAGACUUGUGCAAUGGCAACUGUUCAACAAGCCCUCUUAAUAUUGGUAGUGAUUUAAUUGUGAAUUUUCUGAAUCCCAGAAAAUUUUUAAAGAUUGGGCCAAAAGAGGAAGCUGUUACUGGCAGUGUGGGUAACUGUAGGAGCUUCACUAGGACAUUAUAUAACCAAAGAAACAGUAGAUGAAACGUUAAUCAAAUGAAAAAAGUUCCAGAAAACUCUGACAGCAAAGCAUGAGCUCUGGAAACACUAACAUAAAGUUUGCUAUAAAUCUCAUACAGAAAUGCAGAUAAAAGCCCAAGAGUGUCAGAUGAAACAGCAUGCACAAACUGAGAUUUCUACUGUUUUUUAUUUUCCUUAAAGCUAAACAGCUUAGUCAGAUUCUCGUAUUUAUAUGUUUCCUACAGGGACCCUGGGUAAACAGCCCUCACUGGACUAGUCCUAUGUUCUGCUUCACUCUCUCUCUUUUGAGUAUCCUCAGUUGCCACUGCAGGAGGUGCUCAGUAUUUCACAGGACUGAGCCUGAAAAGCUCCAUAUAUUUGGUUCUGGUUGAACUCCAGCCACUCUUUUUAUUACUUUUUUUUUUUUUUUUUUAAAUAGAAAUAGUAUUGAUGCCUGCUCUGCAAAAUGAAAAAACACCACCACCACCAAAACCCAAAAAACCCAAACCACACCGAAAUCAAAACCCCCAAAAAAGCAUCCCACCAUUGCUUUGUCUCAUUCUGUGUCUGAUUUCUUCUGGAGAGAAGCUGUUGCAUUCAGUGAGUGUGUGGCCAGGCCAUUUGUCUGAAGGCCAGUUUUUGUUCUGGGUUGGCAGUGUAGUAUUUUUCUAAGCUCCCCCCCCCAACCCCUGCUAUCACUGCAGCUGCACCUGGCAAGAGGAAGCAACCCACAGUCUAAAAAGCUCAUCAGAACAAUAAUGUCUGCUUCUCUCUUGACAGGUUAAUUAAUUGCAUGCCAUUAUAUUUUGUGUGUGGUUUUGGACUGUUUUGAUACUUUUCUUUCAAGCGUGUUUCCCAGCAGGGUUUGGAAAUGCUGAUGCAUUGUCUGCCUGUCUGUCACUUCAGACGGCACUUGGUGCAGAAAGAAGAGAUGGAAAGGAAAAGAAAGAGGGAAAGAGAGUAUGUUUGGGUGCUACAGUUAGAAAAUGUUACCCACUAGGAACUGCGAUAAAAUCAUGGUUACGGAUGCCUGGAGAAGAAAAAUGUCAUGAAAUUUUGGAGGUUUGAAGUCUGUUGUGUAGCCCUUUGGAAGGCAAGGAAAGGUGGACUCCACGUCAGUCUAAAGCUGUAUUUAGGGGCAUGCAUUGACUCCUUAGACAAUUUAACAUAUUUUUCACCUCACAUGUGAGAGUUUUAACCCCCAGCUGCUGGAUCUUUUGGUGGGAAACCUCUUUUGUGGGAGAGAGGCAGGAGAGAGCAGAAAUUAUAUUUUCACUUGAAGAGACUGGAGUUCCUAAUAAAAAUUUAGUGAAGAGUUUUUCUGUGAAUAGCUGCAACUUUUCACCUCUUGGAUUGCAUUAUUUUCGAAAUUAAAAUAACAUCAUGCAAAUUGUGUGCUAGAACUAAGAGAACUGACCAGAUAUUAUUAUUUUUCAAACUGGAACAUUUCCAGAGGUUGUAUAACACCCUUUUAUAUCCUCCCAGCCAGAAAUAUAUUGAGACUUACAGAAUGAAGAAGUUUGACAGUUUUCAGUGUUCUUGGAAGAUCGACUGCCACGGAAAGUUUUAAAAGACACAAGAGCCAUAUCCAUGUAUUAAGACUAACUUUGAUAAACAGGGUAACAUAACAACAUUCACAUUCAGCAUAAAGGAAAAUAGUAAUGGAAAUGUGUUCUUUGUAUGGAAGUGUAUAGGUUUGGAGGGCCUCUGUCACAUGGCCUGAGAUGGGAGCUUUGUUUCCACACAAGAAUUUGGCGAUUCAAGUGCUAUGCACUGUGCCGUCCUUACAAAUGCUCUCAGUAAUACAGAAAUGUUUUGCAGUUCCUAACGAGUGUUAUCGGUCGCUGCUUUUGUGGACUGCUGUAUGUGGUAUCAGUGCCGAUAGCGUGCCCUCAAUCAAGGGUUCAACUUCACAUGAACGCAACAGGCACAGCUGGGCAUAUUUGGACCAAGAAGUAAAAACAAAGCAAAGCACAACAGACUUACCCAAAAAUCCUGACUUGUAACUGGAUUCACUGUAUAGGAAUUUUUCAUUGCAUCGAGGAAUAACAGAAAAUUGAGAGGUCUGAAGGUCUGGAAAGCAACCAUCCUCCUUGAAGCAUGUGAGAGACAGGUUAUUUCUGUCUGAACUUCAAUGAUUUUCACCUCCGUUGUAUAUAAGGAAGCUAGAAAUAGUCCUCUAUUUUUGGCACUGGGAUGUCUGGGUCAGCAUUGUGGCCUUGGAGCUGCCUGCCCUUGACAUGGUGAAACGACAUUGAGCUCAGGAUCAGGAAGCACUGGAGACACCUGGAAUCCAAAAUUCUAGCCCAUGCAGUACAGAGGGUAUCACAGAUCAUUCUGGAGCACUUGAGCUGGUUGGAUGAAAAAUAUCCUGUACAGGAGUUACCAGGGAGAAUUUCAUUAGACACCAGGGAAGUGGUCUUUCAUUCAAACCCUGAAGAAGCAAAUCAUCUGGAAAAUUCGUGAUGAAAUGGCUUAUCUUCAUAUUCUACGUCUCGAACUGGAGAAUAGUUAGACAAAAGCAAGUAGAUGAACUGAUGAAAAAGAGCUGAAGAAACAAGCUGGAAAUGAAGGCUGAGCCUGCCACCUGACUUCUCUGCUUGUAUAGUUAAAUAAAGUUGUUUUUAUUGGCAUGCAUCAUAUUGUCAAGAUGUUGUAUGACUGCCAGUGAUGCGUAAACAAAUAGAACUUCUUACCUUUUAAAUCAGGACUUCAAAGCCCUAAAUAAAAAACACAGAGUUCCCCAAAGCCCAGUUUGUUACUUCAUAAACAUCACCAGUGACUGACCUCUGCUAGUAUGUCACAUGCAUAUUUCAGCAGUGACAACACUUGUAAAUCCAUGUACAAGCAACUUGCUCCUUAUUUAAGAAACAUACACAGACGGGCAUAACCAAGUCUUGAAAGGCAUAUGCCAGCACUAAAUAUCCCAUGCAGACUUUAACCAGGAAAUAGAAACUGCCAAACGUGCCUCUGUGCAGCAUUGUGUGCCACUCCUUUUGCAAAUUAUAUUCACAAACAGUCUCUAAUGAGUAUAGUCUGGCUGGUAGUGGCAGCGGUGGCAAUUCAUUCCCCCAGAGUUCCCACUCUGUGUGUAAUCAGCAGCAAGAUCUCAAGUCAUGUCAAAGACCCGCUUUACUGCAUGAUUUCCUGACUCUAAUCUUCACCACAGAAACUGCCUCUGUAGAAUUGUAUUCCCUUAAUGAAAAGUUUCCACUGCAUGCUACAACCAUUGCCUUUCAAUGUUGUGAGGAUUGUUGUAAAGAUAACAAGCCAAACUGUAAUCAAUGCAUGGUUAUUUUCCUUCAGAUAGCUCAAAAUCCUAGUUGCACGGAGCAAGAGCUGCCCCAACCAACUCAAUGGUGUAUUGACUCUGACAUGUAAAUGAUAAUUAAAGUACACUGGUGGCUGCUUUCCUGCAGAUGAAUUUUAGCCAUCCAAGACAUCCAAAUGUUUAUCACAGGUUUAUAUUUCUUCCCACACCCCUUUGUGUGGAGAAUUUAAUCAAAAAGAUCCCGGAAUGGGUCCACUGUGUGUAUUCUGCUAAUGAUUUUUCAAAAGUAAGCUAUUAAUGUAAGUUAAAAAAUUGAUAAACAGGUUUUAGAAUCACAAGGAAAAGGAUACAGGAAUUUAUUUUCUGAAUAACUAUUAUACCUCUGAAAGAGACGUAGUUGUUCUACAAAACAAAAGUGCAGCAGACAGACAGCAGAUUUACCCAGCAAGUUAGGAAGGCUGCUUCUGCUUCUGAAGCCUGCUGGUUUGGGGUGGAUGUUCUUGUCCAUCUCAGCACCUCAUUCUGAAGAUCUAUGUGCUAUGGGGAACUGACAGAUUAUACACAGGAAUUCAUUCCUUGUUUCUCCUAAGGUCACAAGGCAAAACCAAUAUGGUUCCCCUGUGCUGCUCACAAGCUCCCUCUCAUCAGUAACAAGCUCUUGGAUAAUGGAAUCUUCAGCAGGAAGAUGGUCUGUGCACAUUAGCACUGGUAUUUGUCGUUGUGCUAAUUAGUCCUUCCCUGAGUAUAAGGAUUAGUGUCAGUCCCUAGGGCAAACUGGUGAUAAAGCUCUAAGAAAAUGUUUAAGCUAAAUAAAGUUGGCAAUGCAAAUGCUUUUAAAUAAUAGGAAUACAUUUGAAACGGUUGCUAUAUGUGGCUUCAAUGCUAAUGCUUACAAUGGUGAUAGCUUAGAACAUAAUCUAUGUAUUAAAUAAAUGUGUAAAUUGGAUUUGGAAAUAUUCAUGGGGACAGAGGGCUGGAGGAGCCUCUUGGGUCUUUCAGUCCAAUUCUGCAUUAUCACAGGCCCAGUGUCAUAUAAUCCCUCUCAUAAACUUGUGUAAUCUUUUUCAUAUGCUUGAACAUGCUUCUCCCAGAAUCUAGUGAAAGGACUUGCACUAUCUUUCAUCUCAGUUCAAGUGUCUGCUUUGAACAGGGCAGGAAUGAAAUCUGAAUGUCACAGAUGUCUGAGUAUCCUAAUAACUAUCGUACUGGUGGAUUUUCUUUUUCUUAAGUUCCCUUUCUCAGUCCAAUUGAACUGUCACUUCUGCAGCCCUGGAGACAGGGGUAAAUUUAAUUUUAAUGUAUUAGAGCUGCAAGCAAGCUAUGUAUAGUUUUUUACCUAUCUUUAGGAAAACCUUCAACAAGAUUCUGGGCAACUAGUUGACCAAUAUGAUUUUUUUGCACCAUGAAGCCAAAAGAUGGAUCUGAAAAAGCAAUAUGUAUGUAUGAACUAGUCUUGUCUGGGAUGAUGCGUUCAGUUCCUGAGAGUUCGGAUAAGCUUAGCUGACUACUGUUUCAAUGAAUAAUUCACUGUCUCUAAAUUUAGCUUUGAUCUAUGUGAUUGUGUUGUGAGCUUGAAAUGUACUCACAUACAUCAUGCAUAGGAGCUCUAACAGCCUUGUCCUUCCCCCUCUCAUAAAAACUCCUUUCUAACCUCCAACUGUUCUCCAGGUGCAUCACUCUUGCAGCUGUACCAGGGUGUUAGGGUUCACAGUUCAUCAGUUUAGAUAUCUCUUUUUUUUUUUUUUUUUUUUUUUUUUUUUUUUUUUUUUUUAAUCUUAAAAGGCUUUUCAGAGACUCCUGUGAAAUCAUGGAGAAAUGCAGAAAGGAACAAGUUGUUGACAGAAGGGGAAAAAAAUUUCUACUCCCUAGAGGCUUUUCACUUCAGAACCAGGGAGUUUGAGACUGCCAAGUCUUGCAUUGUGUGCUGUAUCAUGAGUUGAUUAAACCAGUCCUGUUGUUGGCUACCCUGCUAGUGCAAAUGGCAGAGAAGAUUUGUCUACUAGAUUGCAACUGUGACAGUUAUGGUAAUAAACCAUAGGAUGAAUUUUCUGGGUUCAUAAUUUGCCUUUAUUAAAUCUAGGUUACUCCACAAAACCUGCUGUGCUGGAAGCUCAUCAUUAAGACUAUCACACCAAGAAAAUAAGAUUUAGACAAUGCCAUAGUCUAGGUAGUAUAUUACUUGUGGUUUUGUUUUUCUGUAACUAAUUCACAAUGAUGAAACAAGAGUAACAGUUAAUAUCAACUAUAUUAUAUUACUGUGGGGUAGGUAUGAAAAAUUAAACUAAUGCUGCUUAAUUAGGGUAAGGAAGAAAGAGCUUCCAGUCAAAAGAAACCCAGUAGUCAGCUCUUUAAAGGCUCUACAUACACUUUGAAAUACCUUGGAAAUGGCUGUGUCCCUUCAAUUUUUAAGAAGUAGUUUGGCAAUUUCUAUUCCAGCACUUGCAGUAGAAGUCUUGUUCUGUUGUACAGGAAAGACAUAAGCCCAGAAAACUUGUAAAUAAUUCCAGUAUGUUUUGAUUAGUUUGUGAAUGACAAAGACCAUGUUAUAUGGUUUGGUUAUAAGUUUCCUCUGGUGAAAGAUAAGAUGGGUUCUAUUAGAAAUCUUAAUGGAUGCCAAGCCUCAAAAUCAUAAAGUUUUCUAAAUUCGCCCAAGUGUAAUUCUAAAUUAGGCCAUCACACUUAGUUUGAGUGAGAGAAAAAGUAGACAUAAAUGAGCCUGAGUGCUUAAGCGAGACAGAGAUGAUAAGGCUGAAAAUGUUUCUGUAAUUUUAAUGGACAGGAGAUUUAUGUACUAGGCAAAUAGAAUAAUAGAAUUUUCAUUAAUUUGUCUUUUUAAGAAUUUCUCUCUUUUCUCUAUUUGUCUGCAUGGAUAUGAAAGUCUAUUAAUAAUAAAUAGUAUUAUUCUGAAGAUUUUUUUUUUCUAGUUUUGACCCACUGAGCCAAAUGAAACCUUUUCAUGAUAAAUCAAGUGCAGAAGGAAAGAUACUGCCUGUGUAGUAUUUCAAGUCGCCAGGUCCCAGAGCCUAAUCUCUGCUGUAAUGGUGUGAACAGCAUGUAGCCUAGGGAAGGGAAACAAACCAUACAGAGAGGCUAAUUUGACUCAGCAUGUUAAUUUGGCAUUGGCUAAAAUGGAUCCUUCAAAAUCUGCUUUCUUCAGCCCUCAUGAGAACUUCAGUUUCCUUUUGGAAGAUACUCUCUAGUAAUAAGAAGCCUCUAAAUAUCUGAUACUAGACCCAUAAUAUGGACUGAGAAUUCCUGUUUUUCUCACCUUUGCCUUGACUCCAGGAAGAGCUUCCUUUGCAUUUUUGCAGCCACUAGAAAUAUUUUGCCUGUUUCAAUGCACAGCUUUGUAGCAAUGUUUAAUGAAUGACUGGCAAUGGUUUGCCUAUCAGUCUGUGUAACCAUGCAGACCUUUCUGAUAAAUCCAGGUCAAAAUGAGCCUUGCUGAUUUCUUUUUAAAAAUGAUUGCUAGAAUAUAAAUGCCAAGUCAGCACAGCUGGCUGUAAAACUUAAAAUAUUGUUGGGAUAGCAACAGCUCAGAAAGAUCACAAGUAAAGCAAACUUGAUAAAUUCACAUGGAUGGGAAAAGGAAAUUUUUGGAGGCAGCAUAAUUGCUUUUCAGGCAGUUCUGCUGAGUCUUCGGGAGUGAAAAACAGGUGGUAGGAUGUAUUCUGUGUGUUGGUGUGACAUGUUUGACUUGGAUGCUCAAGGGGACAACAAAAUCAGAUUAAUUUGCUCAGUUUUGGGCCCCUCACUAUGAGAAAGACAUUGAGGUGCUGGAGAGAGUUCAGAGAAGGGCAACAAAGCUGGUGGGGGGUCUGGAGCACAAGUCUGAUGAGGAGCAGCUGAGGGAACUGGGGCUGUUUAGCCUGGAGAAAAGGAGGCUGAGGGGAGACCUGAUCACUGUCUACAACUACCUGAAAGGAGGUUGUAGCAUGGAGGGUGUUGGUCUCUUCUCCCAAGUAACAAGUGGUAGGAUGAGAGAAAAUGGCCUCAAGUUGUGUCAGAGGAGGUUUAGAUUGGAUAUUAGGAAACAUUUCUUCGUGGAACGGGUUGUCAGAAAUUGGAACAGGCUUCCCAGGGAAGUGGUUGAGCUGUCAUCCCUGGAGGUGUUUAAAAGAUGCAUAGAUGUGGCACUUACGGGCAUGGAUUAAUGAAGGACUUGGCAGUGCUAGGUUAACAGUUGGACUCGAUAAUCUUUUCCAAUCUAAAUGAUUCUAUGCUCUCCAGUUGCUUAGCAGAGGCAAAGAUUUCCACGCUGAACUGCAGAACAUGUGUCUGUAUCAGGGUAGGUUUGUAAAUCAGUUUUGAAUCCUUUGGGAUGAUAUACCUCACCUAAAUGCAAUUAAAAUGCAACAUCAUUUGUAACUCUAGUUUUCUCUGUGAUCUGCUUUAAAAUGUAGAUAUGCCUAAGAAUUGUUGAGUCAGACAUACAUCUGGGUUAAAAAGGUGUCAAACUGCUGAUUUACCUGACAGAUGAGUUACAGAGACUUAAUUGUGGACCUGUGUUUCUGAAUAUGAAAAGUGGCAUUCAUAACUUCUUAAUUGGUGCUCCAACUGGUAAUGAAAGACAAUUGCUUUGUAAAACUAUAACAAAUGGGAAAAGAAUGAGCAAGCAAGAAAACAUUUGUGCUCCUACAACUACUACUACAGAUGGUAGCCAUUCUGAGCUGUAGAUACUCCCUCACUAUAAAUCUAUGUGUAGUAUAUUACUUAUAGGUUGUUCUUAAACAGUAUACCAAUAAAAGUGUAUUGAUAUAUAGAUUUUUCAUUUAAAUGUGACUGUUUAGAGUUGUAGCAACAGAAUGUUAAUGGUUAAACUGAGUGUGAAAUAAUGUUAUCAUAUUACUUACAGGCUGUUCUUAAACAGUAUACCAAUAAAAGUGUUUUGAUAUAUACAUUUUUUUCAUUCAAAUGUGACUAGAGUUGUAGUAACAGAAUGUUAAUGGUUAAACUGAGUGUGAAAUAAUGUCAUCAUGAAAGAGUACAAAUGAGGAGGAACUGUACUGGGAAUUUGACAACAGGAGACUUGUCUUUCAGAUGAAAACUAAAAUACUGGCGAGAAUUCUACCAACUGUGUCUUGAUGUUACAGAAAUUAUAAUGGAUAGAGUUUCUCAGUUGGGAUGUUAAAGCUGAGCUGUUAAAUCUUUAUGUAGGCAUUAUAAAAAGUGUUUAAAGCUGACCUUAUUCCCCAGAAGGAGGAUGAGUUACAGAUUUUUAGAGACAUUGCAUCGGUAAUUUUUUAAUGUCUGACACUUCAUGUAUCGUGUUCCUAUUUUUCCCUUGAAGAUUAACUUAAAAUAUAUUUUUUAAUCAUUGGAGAGUGAUAAUGUGAGAGAUUAUGAUUUAUGAGUGUUGAAGAAAACUGAUGGUAUAUUUGCCUUGAGUUUAUAUUGCAAGUGCCGGUAGUUUGGUUAGUAGCUACAAUGAUAUUUGAUUUCUUACUCAGUAUACCCCAACGCAAUGCAUUCAAAAGGCAUUACACUGUAAAAACAUAUGUGAAGUUUCCUUUUCUUUUUUUUUUUUUUUUCCUAUGAAAUGAUAAUUUUCCAAGGGGAGCUUAUCGCUAAGGAAGAAUAGCAACUUUGAGGAAUAGAGUCAUGAAGAGACCGAUGAUCUGUUUGAUUAUCACAAGAGCUCAUUCUGAAAUCUCAUUACGACUUUAGCAGUCUCUUGGUAGCCAGAUGAAAUUAAACAGAGGGGAAAAAAUCCAUCAUGUUAAAACCAUACAUGAGGACAAUCUGUCAAAUCUAAAUUCAGAGAUAGCUCUGUUUAAAGCUGGAAGGGGUGUCUAAUUCUGUGAUUUCAUUCCAGUGUUAACUGAUACUCAUUAAAGUGAAGCAUGCUGUGUACUUUACAAGUAUAGUUUAUUUUUCUGCUUAAGUAACAUCCGUAGUCAAGUCAUAGUUUCAUUGAAUGUCCAAAUCCCUCAAAUUUAUUGGAAUUUUUAUGGGAUUUUUUUUUAAGACUUUGGUUUUAUAUGACUAAACAGCUAUAAAACUAGAUUAAAAAAAUCAGCAUUGCAAGUUGUGAUGGAUUAGAAACAGUAUGUGACGUUGGCUUUGUUUCCUGUUUGGCUGAGUCCCACUCCUACAGAACUAGAGAGAUUUAGAAAGUAAAUGGGUGUUUGAAUUCUUGGAAGAAUAAGAAAGACUUAUGGAGAAUAUUACAAGGUAAAUAUGUGGAAGGUUUACAGGAACAAAGACGUUUAUCUCCUGAAUCUUGAGAGAAAAAAAGUCAAUGUCGGAUUAUAGUGUUUAUGUUGGGAAUAUUUAGUUUUCAUAUAACCACUUAUAACUGUCUUAUUCUAAGGAAUAGUGUUGAUCAAUGAGUCUUAGAGUACAUAUGAAUCAAAAUUGUAAAAUACGGUUUUGUAAUAAAUAUAUGUAACUAAAUUUUUGCGGUCAACGAGAGUGGAUAUUUUUAAUGCAUAGAUGAGCUUACUUAUGUGGUUAGAGGCUUUUAGUAGGAGGAAGAAACUGAAUCAGUUAUUUUUUCAAAUAAUUUGUAUCAUAUUCCGAACCAUGGAAAGAUGAAGCUUAAACUAACUGAUGUGAACACAUGUCACUUGAAAUGCUUUUUAUAUCUCCAAAGUAUGGAAAUUUAUUUUUGAUUUUUCAAAAUGAGUAUGAUAUUAAGAAAAACAAAUACUGCUUCCCUUUUAAGUAUUUUGCCAUCCAACAGAAAAGUUAUUCUAUUUUGAGGAUUCUGCUUAGCACAAAUGGUCUGGUGGGAAAGCAAGGAACUCAUGACUCUGGAAAUUUCUCCUCUCUUGUUUUUGUCAGGAAAAGUUAACAGUUGUUCAGUAAACUCUUAUCUUUUGUAAUGAAACCAGGAUUUUUGUUUCAAUAGCAGACAAGCUGUCAAAGCUGUUUUAAGAAAUAACACACAAUCUCUUUUCUGUCCCCAUCUUCCUAUUGUUGUAUUUUUAGUCUUAAUGUGAUGUGAGGAUUAUUUUUUAAAUUGUUUUAAAUUCCAGCAACAUGCAUGUAUCAAGUUUCAUAAUGUGCAUAGGAAGAUAUUUAUUUUAAGCAUCAUUGUCAUCUUUUUUCUUUAAAGGCACUUCUGUACCUGCAUUAGAGAAUAUUAAAUGUUGUAUUUCCAA
Molecule: long non-coding RNA, 10719 nt
Organism: Columba livia (rock pigeon)
Lineage: Eukaryota; Metazoa; Chordata; Aves; Columbiformes; Columbidae
Exons: 2
Source: RefSeq, a predicted model, not a curated record